CUUCUUUCAAGGUGCCCCAGCUCCUUUCCUCCCUACUGUUCUAUCUGUGUGCCCCAUCCUACCCGGUACACCCUUUCCAAAGAAGCCUUCGGGAGGAAAGAUGAAGAUGGUCACAUACUCUUAUACCCCUGAGUUCUCUCCCCAGAAAGUGAACAUGAACACAUUUGCAAAACAUUUUGGUUUUUAAUCUCCCCAAAUCCUUCCCAUAGUUCACGUCUCCAAGUCAGAGAUCAGUGUGCACUCAGUGGUCUGUGCCAGGAUACUCCCAGGUACAGGGCUGCCUUGGAAUUCUGAACUGUCCUCCUUGCACACCUAGGACCCAACUGCUUGUGCUGCUUAGUAACUUUGCCCUUUAUAAAUCAUUUCCACCUGCAUCACUCCUUUCAGAUCCUCUGGAACUUGGUGGUGUUGGUUGGCCUGUUUAUAGACGAGACUCAAAAAUGUUAAGGCAUCAUGCCUAAUGUCGGUCCUCUAGUGAGAACGGAGCUCAAACUCCAGCUGCAUGUCUUGACCCCAGAGCCUGCUUGGUCCUCCUUAUCUUGCAGCCUUCUUUUAGAAUCUUUUAUGUUUAAUCCCUCAUGACUGGGCACUUAAAACAUGGUUCUGAUCCAGAUGCUUGCUGAAGAAUUUGGGAACCUGGGAAGUUCCACCUUCAGGGUAAAAAAUACUUAAAAAAAAAAAAUUCAAGGCAUUCUUUGGCAUUUUAUGGCAUGAACAUAUAUACUUUAGGUGUAUACACCCUUUUAUAUUGGCGGGUUUUAGUGACCCAAAUGGGUCCUUCUAUGUUCUAGCAAGACUUGGCUUGGUGUAACUCUUCGACACCCCUGACCUGCUACUCAUUUGUGGCCAUUCCACCCAUGAGCACAGGCCUCCCCGAGGCCAGCCUUAAGGUGGGUCAGGAGCCUUGCAUGUGAGGUAAGUAGCUGGCAGACAUUAGCAUGUUGGCAGAGUUAACUUUUCUUGGCUUUGUUCUUUUAAAGAAUUUUAUAAGAAAGCAAUUUCAAAUGAAUCAUUUCAUCUCUCUUGAGACACAGUCUCCCUGUCUCUACAUCAGGCCUGACUCUGGUUGGUCUUUCUGGCCUCCUGAAGAGGCCAGGAGUCCUUCCAAGGUUAGCAGGCUUCUGAGCUCCUGGGGGAAGGAGAAAAGGAGAACUAGGUCGCACUCGCUGUGCGUUGGUUGCCUGGAAUUGUUCUCCUGGUUGUGCUCAGUGAAAAGGACAACUUGA
Molecule: long non-coding RNA, 1226 nt
Filed under: Cervus hanglu yarkandensis (Yarkand deer)
Lineage: Eukaryota; Metazoa; Chordata; Mammalia; Artiodactyla; Cervidae
Description: lncRNA (ENSCHYG00000021406.1)
Source: RNAcentral